This 23-nucleotide ribosomal RNA is filed under the name Opuntia robusta (nopal tapon). RNAcentral's name for it is "26S ribosomal RNA". The record is from RNAcentral. Lineage: Eukaryota; Viridiplantae; Streptophyta; Magnoliopsida; Caryophyllales; Cactaceae.
GCCACCCCAUUUUAGGCGGGGCU